GAAGUCGGAAUCGCUAGUAAUCGCAGAUCGGCAUGUUGCGGUGAAUACGUUCCCGGGUCUUGUACACACCGCCCGCCAAACCAUGAGAGUCACCAACACCCGAAGUCCGCCUUGGCGGCCUAAGGUGGGGGAGAUGAUUGGGGUUAAGUCGUAACAAGGUAUC
This 163-nucleotide ribosomal RNA is filed under the name uncultured bacterium. RNAcentral's name for it is "partial 16S ribosomal RNA". It matches the Rfam family "Bacterial small subunit ribosomal RNA", at positions 1322 to 1500 of the family's 1533-position model. The record is from RNAcentral.